AGCGAACGCUGGCGGCAGGCCUAACACAUGCAAGUCGAACGGACCCUUCGGGGUUAGUGGCGGACGGGUGAGUAACACGUGGGAACGUGCCUUUAGGUUCGGAAUAGCUCCUGGAAACGGGUGGUAAUGCCGAAUGUGCCCUUCGGGGGAAAGAUUUAUCGCCUUUAGAGCGGCCCGCGUCUGAUUAGCUAGUUGGUGAGGUAACGGCUCACCAAGGCGACGAUCAGUAGCUGGUCUGAGAGGAUGACCAGCCACACUGGGACUGAGACACGGCCCAGACUCCUACGGGAGGCAGCAGUGGGGAAUCUUGCGCAAUGGGCGAAAGCCUGACGCAGCCAUGCCGCGUGAAUGAAGAAGGUCUUAGGAUUGUAAAAUUCUUUCACCGGGGACGAUAAUGACGGUACCCGGAGAAGAAGCCCCGGCUAACUUCGUGCCAGCAGCCGCCGCGG
This 449-nucleotide ribosomal RNA is filed under the name uncultured bacterium. Its description in RNAcentral is "partial 16S ribosomal RNA". It matches the Rfam family "Bacterial small subunit ribosomal RNA", at positions 29 to 523 of the family's 1533-position model. The record is from RNAcentral.